AGAGUUUGAUCCUGGCUCAGAUUGAACGCUGGCGGAAUGCUUUACACAUGCAAGUCGAACGGCAGCGCGGGGCAACCUGGCGGCGAGUGGCGAACGGGUGAGUAAUACAUCGGAACGUGCCCUGUGAUGGGGGAUAACUACGCGAAAGCGUAGCUAAUACCGCAUACGACCUACGGGUGAAAGUGGGGGAUCGCAAGACCUCACGUCAUAGGAGCGGCCGAUGGCGGAUUAGCUAGUUGGUAAGGUAAAGGCUUACCAAGGCAACGAUCCGUAGCUGGUCUGAGAGGACGACCAGCCACACUGGGACUGAGACACGGCCCAGACUCCUACGGGAGGCAGCAGUGGGGAAUCUUGGACAAUGGGGGCAACCCUGAUCCAGCAAUGCCGCGUGUGGGAUGAAGGCCUUCGGGUUGUAAACCACUUUUGGCGGGGGCGAAAUAUCGAGUGCUAAUACCAUUCGGUGAUGACGGUACCCGCAGAAUAAGCACCGGCUAACUACGUGCCAGCAGCCGCGGUAAUACGUAGGGUGCAAGCGUUAAUCGGAAUUACUGGGCGUAAAGCGUGCGCAGGCGGUUAGGUAAGACAGAUGUGAAAUUCCCGGGCUCAACCUGGGAACUGCAUUUGUGACUGCCUGACUAGAGUGCGGCAGAGGGGAGUGGAAUUCCGCGUGUAGCAGUGAAAUGCGUAGAU
Molecule: ribosomal RNA, 690 nt
Filed under: uncultured bacterium
Lineage: Bacteria
Description: bacterial SSU rRNA
Rfam family: Bacterial small subunit ribosomal RNA
Source: RNAcentral